Long non-coding RNA from Amphiprion ocellaris (clown anemonefish), 883 nucleotides. RefSeq lists it as uncharacterized. The transcript has 4 exons. Lineage: Eukaryota; Metazoa; Chordata; Actinopteri; Pomacentridae. The record is from RefSeq and is a predicted model, not a curated record.
UUGAAGGAAGUCAAACUCUCAUCCUGAGCAGGAACAACUUUUAUUAUUUGUUCACCAAAUUACAGUUUAAAGCCACCUCAGUGAAUGAACAGAUUAUUAGAUUGUGGGCCCUGGUGACAGACAUCUAGAGGCCCCGACUCAUCCUGAAGAGAACCAAGACACCAGGUGGAACGAGACGUUAAUGCAGCUGGCUGCAAUAACCCAUCAUCACCGUCAUCAGAACUGUGGGCAGCCGUGAUGCAGCACACCUGUUCUCCAUCUCCCUCCAUAAAAGCCAGCUCCACACUCAACACCCUGCCAGAUAGUUGCUUCAGCUCCAAGCUGUUAGUCUCUGCUGGUCACGCUGCCCAGGCUCCCUUGUCACUCCUGUCCACCACCAAACUCUGAACCGGCAUUCACCUCUGGAGGAGGAGGUGUCUCAUCCCUGCCUGCCUCAGCCCGCUUCCCCUGCCUGCCUCUGGAUAUCCAGGACUGCCACAAUCACUCUCUGCCACUCACCCACCCCAGCAGAGGACUAACCUGGACCGCCGGUCUCCGGUAGCCUGUCAGCCCCACUUCCAGUCCGUAGGUUCACCACUGACCGUGACAAAACUACAAGAAAAAGGCACAAAAUGGGACAAAGCUACAAGAAAAAAGGUACGAAAUGGCCACAAAAAGAGGCAAAACAGCCACAAGAAGACAUACAAAGACACAUAAACCAAGAAUUUCACAUCUCAUUCCAUCUGGUGUCUUGGUUCUCUUCAGGAUGAGUCGGGGCCUAUACAUGUCUGUCACCAGGGGCCACAAUCUAAUAAUCUGUUCAUACACCGAGGUGACUUUAAACUGUAAUUUGGUGAACAAAUAAUAAAAGUUGUUCCUGCUCAGGAUGAGAGUUUGACUUCCU